AUCAAGCUGGACAGAUACUGUUUUGUUCGUUCAAUUAACAUUCAUUGAGAGCCUACUUCCGUGCCAGGCGCGAUUCUAGACCCACGGCCAGUGAAAACACGACAAGAUACACAGCACCUGCUGCUACGGCGCUUGCGCUGCAGUGAAGCAGGACCACAGAGCCCGGCUUCAUGAAGGUCCCUGCACAGCCCGGCCCCAGCCAGGUUCCACGGCCUCCCCCCGAGCAGGGCUCACAGGCUCUCUGUGGCCCACCCUGGCCCCUCUCCCUUCAAAGCAGAGAUUUCAGCCCGACAUGCCCCCUGCGGGAAGCCUGCCCUGGCGCGGUCAGAGAAUGACAGUCGGACUGGUCUCCUGUCUCUGAUGCUGACAACCAGCAAACAACAGAGAAGCCCGUGCUGGGACCCGAGGCAUCAGCAAGAAGACCAGCAGGCGGGUGGGCUCACGAGGACCCGGAAGGUAAAGCACUCCUCGACCCCCCCCUCCCCCCGUCUAAAGAAAACCAACCAAGACCAAUUAAAAGGGAC
Molecule: long non-coding RNA, 524 nt
Organism: Myotis brandtii (Brandt's bat)
Lineage: Eukaryota; Metazoa; Chordata; Mammalia; Chiroptera; Vespertilionidae
Exons: 3
Source: RefSeq, a predicted model, not a curated record